GACGAACGCUGGCGGCGUGCUUAACACAUGCAAGUCGAACGGAAAGGCCCUGCUUUUGUGGGGUGCUCGAGUGGCGAACGGGUGAGUAACACGUGAGUAACCUGCCCUUGACUUUGGGAUAACUUCAGGAAACUGGGGCUAAUACCGGAUAGGAGCUCCUGCUGCAUGGUGGGGGUUGGAAAGUUUCGGCGGUUGGGGAUGGACUCGCGGCUUAUCAGCUUGUUGGUGGGGUAGUGGCUUACCAAGGCUUUGACGGGUAGCCGGCCUGAGAGGGUGACCGGCCACAUUGGGACUGAGAUACGGCCCAGACUCCUACGGGAGGCAGCAGUGGGGAAUAUUGCACAAUGGGCGGAAGCCUGAUGCAGCAACGCCGCGUGCGGGAUGACGGCCUUCGGGUUGUAAACCGCUUUCGCCCGUGACGAAGCGUGAAUGACGGGAAUGGGUAAAGAAGCACCGGCUAACUACGUGCCAGCAGCCGCGGUGAUACCUAAGGUGCGAGCGUUGUCCGGAUUUAUUGGGCGUAAAGGGCUCGUAGGUGGUUGAUCGCGUCGGAAGUGUAAUCUUGGGGCUUAACCCUGAGCGUGCUUUCGAUACGGGUUGACUUGAGGAAGGUAGGGGAGAAUGGAAUUCCUGGUGGAGCGGUGGAAUGCGCAGAUAUCAGGAGGAACACCAGUGGCGAAGGCGGUUCUCUGGGCCUUUCCUGACGCUGAGGAGCGAAAGCGUGGGGAGCGAACAGGCUUAGAUACCCUGGUAGUCCACGCUGUAAACGGUGGGUACUAGGUGUGGGGUCCAUUCCACGGGUUCCGUGCCGUAGCUAACGCUUUAAGUACCCCGCCUGGGGAGUACGGCCGCAAGGCUAAAACUCAAAGGAAUUGACGGGGCCCCGCACAAGCGGCGGAGCAUGCGGAUUAAUUCGAUGCAACGCGUAGAACCUUACCUGGGUUUGACAUGGAUCGGGAGUGCUCAGAGAUGGGUGUGCCUCUUUUGGGGUCGGUUCACAGGUGGUGCAUGGCUGUCGUCAGCUCGUGUCGUGAGAUGUUGGGUUAAGUCCCGCAACGAGCGCAACCCUUGUUCACUGUUGCCAGCACGUUAUGGUGGGGACUCAGUGGAGACCGCCGGGGUCAACUCGGAGGAAGGUGGGGAUGACGUCAAGUCAUCAUGCCCCUUAUGUCCAGGGCUUCACGCAUGCUACAAUGGCUGGUACAGAGAGUGGCGAGCCUGUGAGGGUGAGCGAAUCUCGGAAAGCCGGUCUCAGUUCGGAUUGGGGUCUGCAACUCGACCUCAUGAAGUCGGAGUCGCUAGUAAUCGCAGAUCAGCAACGCUGCGGUGAAUACGUUCCCGGG
This 1343-nucleotide ribosomal RNA is filed under the name uncultured bacterium. RNAcentral describes it as "16S ribosomal RNA". It matches the Rfam family "Bacterial small subunit ribosomal RNA", at positions 28 to 1378 of the family's 1533-position model. The record is from RNAcentral.